UGGGGGUGACGGAGACUCCAGGAAGAAGUGCGGUGAAGCCGCGGAACGAAGCGUCGGACCGUUCUUUCUCGGAGGGGGCUGAUUAGAGGCAAGGGCAACAUGGUCAUUUUCACUACGAGACCGCCUAGUGAAAAUGUUACCAAAAGAUAGAGCUCGUCGAGACAAAGAAGUGAGCGCUGGUUUCACCUUGAUCGGAGUUACGGUUGAAAAGUUGUGAAGUGUAGAAGAUUAGGGACCAAUCUGUGAAUAAACUUCAGCAAAUAGGCCCCUGGAGAGAAAAACUGAAUGUGCCUUGGGGCCGGAUACGUUUU
RNAcentral lists this long non-coding RNA (311 nucleotides) under Triticum aestivum (bread wheat). RNAcentral describes it as "long non-coding RNA (TAES_LNC010584)". The record is from RNAcentral. Lineage: Eukaryota; Viridiplantae; Streptophyta; Magnoliopsida; Poales; Poaceae.